ACGAGUGGGCGGUGCGUUUGGAUGGGCGGCCGAAGAAGUCGAAGAAACGCCGCCUCCUCUUUUUCAAGCUUCUUUUUUUUUUCUUAAAAACACUUGAACUCUGCAGCGGCAAGUGCUCUCAGUGUAAAAAGUAUCGAAGAGACGGCUAUGCACAGGCCACAGGAAUUAAGGAGGUGAAGUUUGACAUAAGGCGAUUCUUUUCAUGUUGCCACUAUGACCACCAUUUCGGCUAAUUUGGCCACAGAGAGUGCAACUACAUCACAGCCUCCAAAUGUGGACACAAUUACUGUAGCAGGUAAAUGAACCAUUUUGAAAU
Long non-coding RNA from Polypterus senegalus (gray bichir), 316 nucleotides. RefSeq lists it as uncharacterized. The transcript is spliced from 3 exons. The record is from RefSeq and is a predicted model, not a curated record. NCBI's taxonomy places the organism in Eukaryota, Metazoa, Chordata, Cladistia, Polypteriformes, Polypteridae.